CCUACGGGCGGCAGCAGUGAGGAAUAUUGGUCAAUGGUCGCGAGACUGAACCAGCCAAGUAGCGUGCAGGAUGACUGCCCUACGGGUUGUAAACUUCUUUUAUAAAGGAAUAAAAUGAGGCACGUGUGCCUUUUUGUAUGUACUUUAUGAAUAAGGAUCGGCUAAUUCCGUGCCAGCAGCCGCGGUAAUACGGAGGGUCCGAGCGUUAUCCGGAUUUAUUGGGUUUAAAGGGAGCGUAGAUCGCAUGUUAAGUCAGUCGUGAAAGGUUGCGGCUCAACCGUAGAAUUGCAAUGGAUACUGGCAUCCUUGAGUACAGGGGAGGUAGGCGGAAUUCGUGGUGUAGCGGUGAAAUGCUUAGAUAUCACGAAGAACUCCGAUUGCGAAGGCAGCCUACUAAACUGCCACUGACAUUGAUGCUCGAAAGUGUGGGUAUCAAACAGGAUUAGAUACCCGAGUAGUC
This 460-nucleotide ribosomal RNA is filed under the name uncultured bacterium. Its description in RNAcentral is "partial 16S ribosomal RNA". It matches the Rfam family "Bacterial small subunit ribosomal RNA", at positions 338 to 795 of the family's 1533-position model. The record is from RNAcentral.